UACGUAGGGUGCAAGCGUUGUCCGGAUUUAUUGGGCGUAAAGAGCUCGUAGGCGGUUUGUCGCGUCGGAUGUGAAAACCCAGGGCUCAACCCUGGGCCUGCAUUCGAUACGGGCAAACUAGAGUAUGGCAGGGGAGACUGGAAUUCCUGGUGUAGCGGUGAAAUGCGCAGAUAUCAGGAGGAACACCCGUGGCUAAGGCGGCUCUCUAGUACGGUACUGACGCUGAGACGCGAAAGCGUGGGGAGCGAACAGG
RNAcentral lists this ribosomal RNA (253 nucleotides) under uncultured bacterium. Its description in RNAcentral is "partial 16S ribosomal RNA". It matches the Rfam family "Bacterial small subunit ribosomal RNA", at positions 524 to 776 of the family's 1533-position model. The record is from RNAcentral.